GACGAACGCUGGCGGCGUGCUUAACACAUGCAAGUCGAACGGAAAGGCCUGCUUUCCCUUGUGGAUUGCGGGUACUCGAGUGGCGAACGGGUGAGUAACACGUGAGUGAUCUGCCCCCAACUUGGGUAUAAGCCUGGGAAACUGGGUCUAAUUCCCGAUAGGACUGCAGGGUGGUGCCUGUGGUGGAAAACGAUUUUCUAGUGGUUGGGGAUGAGCUCGCGGCCUAUCAGCUUGUUGGUGGGGUAAUGGCCUACCAAGGCGGCGACGGGUAGCCGACCUGAGAGGGUGGACGGCCACAUUGGGACUGGGAUACGGCCCAGACUCCUACGGGAGGCAGCAGUGGGGAAUAUUGCACAAUGGGCGGAAGCCUGAUGCAGCGACGCCGCGUGGGGGAUGACGGCCUUCGGGUUGUAAACUCCUUUCGACCGCGAGGAAGCCACCUGGUUGGAAGGGUGGUGACGGUAGUGGUAGAAGAAGCACCGGCUAACUACGUG
RNAcentral lists this ribosomal RNA (494 nucleotides) under uncultured bacterium. RNAcentral describes it as "partial 16S ribosomal RNA". It matches the Rfam family "Bacterial small subunit ribosomal RNA", at positions 28 to 507 of the family's 1533-position model. The record is from RNAcentral.